GCCGGAUCCGGUCCAUCCACGCAUAACGAAAAGAAAAGUUCAUCCGGAAGCGGCACUAAAUUCCGGCAACUUUGGUCCACUCCGGCGCCCAAUUUCACGCCGGAGAAUCCCACAUAAGCUGUCUCACCAACUCGAUUGACGGCGAAAUUGCAACCCACCGAUGCAUCGGCGACACCACAAACCUUCCAUGACUCCUCCAGCAACGGCGUUGACGCCACAAGAGCUGCUAAAGUUUCACUAGACUCGAACGAUGAAGCUUCCGAUACCAUAAUUUUCAAUGUUUU
RNAcentral lists this unclassified non-coding RNA (284 nucleotides) under Hevea brasiliensis (rubber tree). The record is from RNAcentral. Lineage: Eukaryota; Viridiplantae; Streptophyta; Magnoliopsida; Malpighiales; Euphorbiaceae.